Molecule: transfer RNA, 64 nt
Filed under: Dryops luridus
Lineage: Eukaryota; Metazoa; Arthropoda; Insecta; Coleoptera; Dryopidae
Description: tRNA-Asp
Source: RNAcentral
AAAAACUUAGUUAAAAAAUAACAUUAGCCUGUCAAACUAAAAUUACAAAAAUAUGUAGUUUUUA